This 1948-nucleotide long non-coding RNA is filed under the name Patiria miniata (bat star). RNAcentral's name for it is "uncharacterized LOC119729204, transcript variant X1". The record is from RNAcentral. Lineage: Eukaryota; Metazoa; Echinodermata; Asteroidea; Valvatida; Asterinidae.
AGCAGUGAGGACACAGUUGACAGUUGACCAUAUUUUAAUGAUCGUAGUAAAAUCAAAAGUCAUAACUUUGGUUAAUUAUACUUUGCAUACAUUUGUAUAAAAGACAUUUUUAAUUUGUGAAGAGCUUUUGAGCUCGGUUCAUUAUUAAGCUUAUCUGUGAGUAAAAAAAUGCUUACAGAGAGAAUGACUUUUGGGGGAAAAAACUCGAAAGUAGAUUGUAUUUUGUUUCAUUGUAAAUGUUGCAUGUUUGAUUUUUUUGCCUUUGUGUGCAUUGCUCUCUGUGUGGUGUGAUAUUUUUUAAUGGUAUCCGUCUGUUGUCUCUGACAAUAGACAAUUUUUUUUUUUAAAUCAAAUUAAUCGUUGCGGCUACGAAAAUGUCAAAUCGUUAAGUAAAAUCGAAGCAGAACUUGAAAGGAAUAAUACUUAAAAUCAGUGUUAUUUUUUUCUGAACUGCAAUACGUCGGGCAAAAAAUGUUACGGUUUUGAAGAGGCAAACCUCAAAUUGACGAAAAUACGAAAUCAACUUUAAAAUGUUAGGCAGUAUUGGAAUAAAAAAUACCUACCCGGAUAUUUACUUGACUACGCGUAUGACGAAAACUGAAAACAAAAUACAAAUCGGUCCAAAAUAAAUUGUAGCGAAAAUCACAUAGUAAACUAAUUUUUUUUCCGAAAAAAAAAUCACUCCGCUUUCUACGUGUAGGCCUACACGCUAGGAAAAUGAUGAAAAUAACGCGAGGAAAACAUCACAGCGUUAGUGAGAGUAAAAAUACCCGAAAUCAGUAUUAUUUGUCUUACCAUAAAGUAAACAAAAUGGGUUAUCGAAAUAACAAAUCAAAAUGACGAAAAUAACGGCAUAAAAAUUAAUCAUCCGCAACGAGAGAAGUAAACUUUACAUGUACAUGCAAAUUGAUGCUAAUUUCUAAACUUCCAAAUUUGGCCACAGAAAAAAAGACCGAAAUUAAGAUUUAAAAGAAAGGAUGAAAUUAUGCUGAGCAGUAAAUACCGGUUCUACAUUGCCUCAAAAAGUCGGAAAGCGAAUAUUGGCAAACGGUGGGAAAAUGACGGCAGCAAAAGAAAAUGAAAUUGACGAAAUUACGAGAAAAAAAAUCACACCAUAAUGAACAAAAUAUCUGUUUAGAAAAUGACUGAAUUUCAGUUAUAUACAGCGGUAUUUCAAAAACAUCAAAAUUGUUGGCAUUGUCGAAAAGUACCUUCAAAAAGACCUUAUUGCCCCCCCCCCCCCCCCCCCACCAAAAAAGGUACAUUGUGAAAGGGUACAACUUAUUGGCAACCUGCCGUUAUCGGUGUCGGCACAUGUUCGUGUGCAUUAUGACAAAAAAGAUCAUGUCUGUUUUUAAAAGUAAAUAGUGGAAACAUGGGUAGAAUCGUUUAGUUUCUAUUUGGUAACAAGUGGCCUUAUUACAGGUUGGCUUAGACAUAAUGCUCUGGAAUGUUUCACUUCAGUAACAAAUGGGCUAGGCCCAGUGUUUUCGUAACCCUGUUCACUUAGGAAAGAGUUGCAGCUUUCAUCAAAGAAACUGAUGACCUAAAAGUUGAGACUGCAUGGAUGAGCUAGGCUGCUUUGUCUGGACGAAAAUCAACCCUCCAAGGCUCCAACAGCCUCAUCACACAGAAACUCAGGAACCGGAAGCAGGGAGGAGGACCGACAGAUGAACGGAUGACCUGCUUGCUGGGCUACCCAUUACUGAUUCUUGAGACAUGAGGACCACUGACUGGUGAGGGAAUUGCCCUAUGAUGGAUGAGCCUGCCUCAAGCUGCCAUAAGCUGGGAGGACCGACGGUUGACUGACUCUGCCUGCUUGGUUGGCCAUCACCGAUUCUUGAGGUAUGUUUACUUGAAAAGAGACCAUGGAUAUGUAGGCCUACACUUAAAUUUGUUAUUCCUUUAAUACUAUGUCACCUCUUACGAUGCUUGAUUUCCUCUUUAA